This is a long non-coding RNA of Ictalurus punctatus (channel catfish), 1362 nucleotides long. NCBI's taxonomy places the organism in Eukaryota, Metazoa, Chordata, Actinopteri, Siluriformes, Ictaluridae. The record is from Ensembl.
AAAAAAUAAAAAUAAUAAUAAUAAAUAAAAAAAGAGGGGAAAAAGAGCUAUUGGCUGGUUUGUGAACAGGCUUGUUUUGGGCAGGCUUAGGGACACAAACAUGGCGGCCUCCUUACGGCUAGGACACCGAGCCGUUUUAACUGUUUUGAGGUUUAUUCCGUUUCAAAAAUGCCCUCACGUAACUCAGAGUUCGUUCAGACAACUGUUUCAGUCUGCGUAUUUAUUAGGGUGCCCAAAUCCAGCACUGCAGUAUUACAUGUUUCCCGUGCACUUGUACAUCUAUUUCAGCUGAAACGUCAAUUCUUAAGAGCAUCAUGAUCUGAUGUGUGACAGCAGACAGGACUGUGUGAUAUUUCAAAUUGGAUUUGAUGAACAACUCCUAAUGAUGUUAAACAUGUGUGUAAAGUUGUUUAGGUCAACCUUUACCAUAAUGUAAUAGUCACCAGCACGGUAGUAUACAUACAUACAUGCAUACAUAUAUUAAUGAUUCAUUCUGUAUGACUAAAUGCUCUCUAUAAUGUAUGCACAUAUAUGUAUGUAUGUAUGUUGUAUGUGCAGUGUAUGCUGCUGUACAAUAGCAGCUUGUUCCCAGCAAACAUGGAUUGCUUGUAUGUCUUCCCGCACAUUUUAUUCCCUUUUCCUGCCAUUUCUUGGUUGGGAAAAAUGGCUGAACUUAAUUCAUUUAGAAGAGGGUGGAUUUAGAGCAAGUUUGAGGUUAUGUAACAGGUUCUGCAUUUUUCGUGGUGGUGUUUUUCCAACUUGGGGGCAUUUCAAUGUCUUUAUGCAGCAGCAGUAAGUGUUAUCAUUUUCUCAAGUACCCUAAUCCUUCAGCUAUAAGGCUAUAAUUCUGAUGUCUCCCAAUGUUCACCCUGUUGCUCUCCAUCACCACUCUUCUGCAUGUUUAGCUAGUUUUCUAAGCUACUCUGAAGUUUGUUUAGAUAUUGGUCAGGGUGUGGUAUAUCUCAUGCUGUAGGAACAAUCCUCCUUCAGUGACUUAAUAUUAAUCCACCCUCUGUGGAUGUGAAUAUUUAUAAUUAAUAGAGAUGCACUGAUAUAUUGGCCGAUAAAGGUUUAAAAACAUAAGAGGAUCAGGGCCGAUUAUAUUCUGUCGAUCAAAAGAGGGCGGGAAAACAUCAAAUUCGUGCAGUGUGUAAAGAUGUCUCUUGUGUGGAAUGAUUGCAAAUCUGCAGUUUACAAACUCUGCACUGCUACAAUUUUACACCAUAAGUGAGCAGGAGUGAAGCGGGAGUUUCAGUGUUGUCAAUUAUUAUUAUUUUUUUUUAAUAUGCUGUAUUAACGGGCCACUACACCGCUGAAAGAUUUAAAUGAAGAUGAGUUGACAAAGUAUAUAUUGCACAGAAA